AGAACUUGAAACCGUGUGCUUACAAGUAGUCAGAGCCCGUUAAUGGGUGAUGGCGUGCCUUUUGUAGAAUGAACCGGCGAGUUACGAUCUGAUGCAAGGUUAAGCAGCAAAUGUGGAGCCGCAGCGAAAGCGAGUCUGAAUAGGGCGUUGAGUAUUUGGUCGUAGACCCGAAACCAGGUGAUCUACCCUUGGUCAGGUUGAAGUUCAGGUAACACUGAAUGGAGGACCGAACCGACUUACGUUGAAAAGUGAGCGGAUGAACUGAGGGUAGCGGAGAAAUUCCAAUCGAACUUGGAGAUAGCUGGUUCUCUCCGAAAUAGCUUUAGGGCUAGCCUCAAGUGAUGAUUAUUGGAGGUAGAGCACUGUUUGGACGAGGGGCCCCUCUCGGGUUACCGAAUUCAGACAAACUCCGAAUGCCAAUUAAUUUAACUUGGGAGUCAGAACAUGGGUGAUAAGGUCCGUGUUCGAAAGGGAAACAGCCCAGACCACCAGCUAAGGUCCCAAAAUAUAUGUUAAGUGGAAAAGGAUGUGGCGUUGCCCAGACAACUAGGAUGUUGGCUUAGAAGCAGCCAUCAUUUAAAGAGUGCGUAAUAGCUCACUAGUCGAGUGACACUGCGCCGAAAAUGUACCGGGGCUAAACAUAUUACCGAAGCUGUGGAUUGUCCUUUGGACAAUGGUAGGAGAGCGUUCUAAGGGCGUCGAAGCAUGAUCGCAAGGACAUGUGGAGCGCUUAGAAGUGAGAAUGCCGGUGUGAGUAGCGAAAGACGGGUGAGAAUCCCGUCCACCGAUUGACUAAGGUUUCCAGAGGAAGGCUCGUCCGCUCUGGGUUAGUCGGGUCCUAAGCUGAGGCCGACAGGCGUAGGCGAUGGAUAACAGGUUGAUAUUCCUGUACCACCUAGUAUCGUUUUAAUCGAUGGGGGGACGCAGUAGGAUAGGCGAAGCGUGCUGUUGGAGUGCACGUCCAAGCAGUAAGGCUGAGUGUUAGGCAAAUCCGGCACUCAUAAGGCUGAGCUGUGAUGGGGAGAGGAAAUUGUUUCCUCGAGUCGUUGAUUUCACACUGCCGAGAAAAGCCUCUAGAUAGAUAACAGGUGCCCGUACCGCAAACCGACACAGGUAGUCAAGAUGAGAAUUCUAAGGUGAGCGAGCGAACUCUCGUUAAGGAACUCGGCAAAAUGACCCCGUAACUUCGGGAGAAGGGGUGCUCUUUAGGGUUCACGCCCAGAAGAGCCGCAGUGAAUAGGCCCAAGCGACUGUUUAUCAAAAACACAGGUCUCUGCUAAACCGUAAGGUGAUGUAUAGGGGCUGACGCCUGCCCGGUGCUGGAAGGUUAAGAGGAGUGGUUAGCUUCUGCGAAGCUACGAAUCGAAGCCCCAGUAAACGGCGGCCGUAACUAUAACGGUCCUAAGGUAGCGAAAUUCCUUGUCGGGUAAGUUCCGACCCGCACGAAAGGCGUAACGAUUUGGGCACUGUCUCAACGAGAGACUCGGUGAAAUCAUAGUACCUGUGAAGAUGCAGGUUACCCGCGACAGGACGGAAAGACCCCGUGGAGCUUUACUGUAGCCUGAUAUUGAAAUUCGGCACAGCUUGUACAGGAUAGGUAGGAGCCUUUGAAACGUGAGCGCUAGCUUACGUGGAGGCGUUGGUGGGAUACUACCCUAGCUGUGUUGGCUUUCUAACCCGCACCACUUAUCGUGGUGGGAGACAGUGUCAGGCGGGCAGUUUGACUGGGGCGGUCGCCUCCUAAAAGGUAACGGAGGCGCUCAAAGGUUCCCUCAGAAUGGUUGGAAAUCAUUCAUAGAGUGUAAAGGCAUAAGGGAGCUUGACUGCGAGACCUACAAGUCGAGCAGGGUCGAAAGACGGACUUAGUGAUCCGGUGGUUCCGCAUGGAAGGGCCAUCGCUCAACGGAUAAAAGCUACCCCGGGGAUAACAGGCUUAUCUCCCCCAAGAGUUCACAUCGACGGGGAGGUUUGGCACCUCGAUGUCGGCUCAUCGCAUCCUGGGGCUGUAGUCGGUCCCAAGGGUUGGGCUGUUCGCCCAUUAAAGCGGUACGCGAGCUGGGUUCAGAACGUCGUGAGACAGUUCGGUCCCUAUCCGUCGUGGGCGUAGGAAAUUUGAGAGGAGCUGUCCUUAGUACGAGAGGACCGGGAUGGACAUACCUCUGGUGUACCAGUUGUCGUGCCAACGGCAUAGCUGGGUAGCUAUGUAUGGACGGGAUAAGUGCUGAAAGCAUCUAAGCAUGAAGCCCCCCUCAAGAUGAGAUUUCCCAACUUCGGUUAUAAGAUCCCUCGAAGAUGACGAGGUUAAUAGGUUCGAGGUGGAAGCGUGGUGACACGUGGAGCUGACGAAUACUAAUCGAUCGAAGACUUAAUCAA
This 2373-nucleotide ribosomal RNA is filed under the name Acinetobacter baumannii. RNAcentral's name for it is "partial 23S ribosomal RNA". It matches the Rfam family "Bacterial large subunit ribosomal RNA", at positions 545 to 2925 of the family's 2925-position model. Lineage: Bacteria; Pseudomonadati; Pseudomonadota; Gammaproteobacteria; Moraxellales; Moraxellaceae. RNAcentral also lists the same sequence under 1 other name. The record is from RNAcentral.